GAAUUUAAUAUAAUUAUUUAUAAGUAUUUAGAGAGUUAGAUAAAUAAAGUAUAUUUAAUUGGGAGGAUUUUUAAAUUUAAUAAACUUUAAAUUUUUAAAAAUUAUUAAUUAGUAGUUAAAAGUUUUUAGAAUGGUUUAAUAAAUUAAUUAAAAAUUAAUUACCUUAGGGAUAACAGCGUGAUAUUUUUGUAGAGAUCUUAUUAAUAAAAAUGAUUGC
RNAcentral lists this ribosomal RNA (217 nucleotides) under Strumigenys trinidadensis. RNAcentral's name for it is "partial large subunit ribosomal RNA". The record is from RNAcentral. Lineage: Eukaryota; Metazoa; Arthropoda; Insecta; Hymenoptera; Formicidae.